AUACGUAGGGGGCAAGCGUUAUCCGGAAUCACUGGGUGUAAAGGGUGCGUAGGCGGUAGGGCAAGUCAGAUGUGAAAGCCCGGGGCUCAACUCCGGGACUGCAUUUGAAACUGUCUUACUAGAGUGCAGGAGAGGAAAGCGGAAUUCCUAGUGUAGCGGUGAAAUGCGUAGAUAUUAGGAAGAACACCAGUGGCGAAGGCGGCUUUCUGGACUGUAACUGACGCUGAGGCACGAAAGCGUGGGGAGCGAACAGGAUUAGAUACCCUGGUAGUCCACGCCGUAAACGAUGAGUGCUAGGUGUCGGGGUCUUAUGAUCUCGGUGCUGAAGUCAACGCAUUAAGCACUCCACCUGGGGAGUACGUUCGCAAGAAUGAA
This 375-nucleotide ribosomal RNA is filed under the name uncultured bacterium. RNAcentral's name for it is "bacterial SSU rRNA". It matches the Rfam family "Bacterial small subunit ribosomal RNA", at positions 523 to 898 of the family's 1533-position model. The record is from RNAcentral.